This 677-nucleotide ribosomal RNA is filed under the name Escherichia coli. RNAcentral describes it as "partial 23S ribosomal RNA". It matches the Rfam family "Bacterial large subunit ribosomal RNA", at positions 2263 to 2925 of the family's 2925-position model. Lineage: Bacteria; Pseudomonadati; Pseudomonadota; Gammaproteobacteria; Enterobacterales; Enterobacteriaceae. The record is from RNAcentral.
GGGUAGUUUGACUGGGGCGGUCUCCUCCUAAAGAGUAACGGAGGAGCACGAAGGUUGGCUAAUCCUGGUCGGACAUCAGGAGGUUAGUGCAAUGGCAUAAGCCAGCUUGACUGCGAGCGUGACGGCGCGAGCAGGUGCGAAAGCAGGUCAUAGUGAUCCGGUGGUUCUGAAUGGAAGGGCCAUCGCUCAACGGAUAAAAGGUACUCCGGGGAUAACAGGCUGAUACCGCCCAAGAGUUCAUAUCGACGGCGGUGUUUGGCACCUCGAUGUCGGCUCAUCACAUCCUGGGGCUGAAGUAGGUCCCAAGGGUAUGGCUGUUCGCCAUUUAAAGUGGUACGCGAGCUGGGUUUAGAACGUCGUGAGACAGUUCGGUCCCUAUCUGCCGUGGGCGCUGGAGAACUGAGGGGGGCUGCUCCUAGUACGAGAGGACCGGAGUGGACGCAUCACUGGUGUUCGGGUUGUCAUGCCAAUGGCACUGCCCGGUAGCUAAAUGCGGAAGAGAUAAGUGCUGAAAGCAUCUAAGCACGAAACUUGCCCCGAGAUGAGUUCUCCCUGACUCCUUGAGAGUCCUGAAGGAACGUUGAAGACGACGACGUUGAUAGGCCGGGUGUGUAAGCGCAGCGAUGCGUUGAGCUAACCGGUACUAAUGAACCGUGAGGCUUAACCUUACAACGCCG